RNAcentral lists this long non-coding RNA (579 nucleotides) under Equus asinus (donkey). Its description in RNAcentral is "lncRNA (ENSEASG00005036079.1)". The record is from RNAcentral. Lineage: Eukaryota; Metazoa; Chordata; Mammalia; Perissodactyla; Equidae.
UUCACGUGGUAUCGCAUGAGGAUGCUAGAACACGCUCAAGGCAGCUCUGCAGCUAUGGGGCACGUGUUGUUGGUGGAACAGGUUAGACUUUCUGAAUGACCACAGCGAUAUUUGGGUCUGCAUGCCCUUCCAUCCUUGCCAUUCCCCAUCAGGACAGGAAGUCUUACUUCCCACUUCUUGAAAUGGGAUGCGUAUUUGUGGACGCUUUCGAUGAAGAGAGACCACUUUCUGUAGAGACUGGAUCGUGUUCACCACCAAUAGUCUAGUUUUUACCGUCACCAUACCUACGUGCCCCUUGGAAUUCUGAAUAAAGUUUGGACAAGCGGUCCCAGUCCAAGUUGCAGAUUUGUGAAGAAAAUACGACAUCCCAGGACGGCUCCCUCUGGCUCAUCGUGAUGACCAUCACGGCCAACACUUGUCAUGGGCACGACUCCACCCCGGAUCCUGGACACACCGUUCGGACACACAGGGUUGUUGAUCUCCUUAAGCAGACUUAGAGACCCACAGGAUUUGUGUUUUCAAGGCAGGACUCUGGGAAGUCGAUUCUUGAUUCUGAGCCAGACUCACCGCGAGCUUUAG